Molecule: ribosomal RNA, 460 nt
Filed under: uncultured bacterium
Lineage: Bacteria
Description: partial 16S ribosomal RNA
Rfam family: Bacterial small subunit ribosomal RNA
Source: RNAcentral
CCUACGGGUGGCAGCAGUGAGGAAUAUUGGUCAAUGGGCGCGAGCCUGAACCAGCCAAGUAGCGUGAAGGAUGACUGCCCUACGGGUUGUAAACUUCUUUUAUAAAGGAAUAAGGUGAGGCACGUGUGCCUUUUUGUAUUUACUUUAUGAAUAAGGAUCGGCUAACUCCGUUCCAGCAGCCGCGGUAAUACGGAGGAUCCGAGCGUUAUCCGGAUUUAUUGGGUUUAAAGGGAGCGUAGAUGGGUUGUUAAGUCAGUUGUGAAAUCUUGGGGCUCAACCGUAAAAUUGCAAUUGAUACUGGCAGCCUUGAGUACAGUUGAGGUAGGCGGAAUUCGUGGUGUAGCGGUGAAAUGCGUAGAUAUCACGAAGAACUCCGAUUGCGAAGGCAGCUUACUAAACUGCCACUGACAUUGAGGCUCGAAAGUGUGGGUAGCAAACAGGAUUAGAUACCCGAGUAGUC